AAAAUAAAUAGGCUUUAGGAUAAUUUGCCUUAGAUAAUAGCAAUGUCGUAUACUAUCAUAUGAUAUAAUAAUAUUAGGCCUUAGAAACAGGCCAAAUAAGUUUUGAAGUUAUAUUAAAAAUAAACAUAAACCUCCAUGUCUUUUAUUAAUAGUUGUACGACCACAUAAGUAGCUAUUUUCAUAGAAAACACGAUAUGCCCCUGCCGUCAUUAAGAAAAAUCACAAGACUUACUAAUUGAGUUCAAAACUAGUUUGUAUUCUUUCUAGCUACCUCACCGGGUUUAAAUGAUCUAAACUUUCCGAGUACCAGUCCGUUCUCGCUCGUGCAUGCUUGCAGCACGCAGUGCUUCGGGUUCCUCGUGGGCGAUGGCGCGGGCUUCACGCGUCUCGGUCCGCGGCCCCUCGGCUGCCGCCCUGAUCACAGGAGCAUUGAUCUGAUUCUGGUUUCCGGCCCGCGCAGCCCGGCCCGGGAGGGGAGCGGGCGCUGGUCUGCGCAGCGCAGAGAGAUUGCAGCUUCGGAAAUCCGAGCCCAGCCGGGUUCCGGGGCGCCGCCCCCCGGAGCAGCAGCUCUGUAUCCCGGGCUGCGCAGCCGCGCGCUCCGGCGGCUCUGGGGCGCGGGGACCUGGAGGACGGGUUCAUUUUCCUUAGCGAGAGCCCCGGAGUGAAGCCUGCGACGCGCUGACCUGAGCUCUCCUCUGCCCCGAGGUAGCCCGCGGGCGCGUCGCCGUCCGGAUCCGCUCUUCUGUUCCCGACUGCGAGCCUGGUUCCGGGCGCAGGUGAUAGGAUGGGCAUUCCUGCCUCGGCCUCCGCCCGCGGUUAGACAGGGCCAGGACGCGUACCCCGUCCCCGCCCCUGCCCCUCGGGCCCCGCCAGCAGCGGGGACAGGACGGGGACGGGGACGGCGGAGCCGCGGCGAGCGCACUCGGGGCUCGGCUCGGGACGUGGCGGGAACCCGGCCCGCGGGGCCGCAUCGGUGCGCAGCGGGUACGCACAGGGCGCUGGGCGCUGGGCGCUGGGCGCUGGUCCCGGGUGCCGGCCGGGUCGGGUCGGGUCGGUCCGGAGCGCGCACCGCUGCCUUCCUCGCGAGGGGGGCGCCGGGCUCCCGCUUCUCCGCGCCGGUUGCUGGGCUCGCCACCGGCCGCCCCUAGGGUUCCCGCGGGGCCUUCUGGGCACCACGACCUCGCCUUACGCGUCCGGGCGCAAGCCCCGUCCGAGGCCGCAGAGUCGGUGCCGUCUCCGGAGCUGCGCACACAGCGCACUGGGCCGAUCCGCCCUCCGGGACCGAGCCCUUGGCCCGGGGACCGUGCAGGCCCGGGGCCCUGGAGGCCGAGGAUCCAGGAGAGUUCACCUAGAAGGUGAAGUGCGGACCCGCCUCGGGAGCCGCGACCCGAGGGAAGGGACCCGCGGCUUCUGGCGCGCAGCAUCCGACUCGAAAUCCGCCUCCAGGGCGCCCCUGGCAGGCGCCUCGCUGUACCGGCCUAGCAGGGCCGCAGCCGGGGACGCCGCCCGGGCUGGGGUGGGGUCGGUUCCUCCGCGCUUUGGGGCUGCGCUCCGGUCCGGCCCCUGCCCAGCAUCGCCGAGUUCGUUUUCUAAAAAGGAGUUUUGGAAGCUCGGAUGGUCCCAUUUUGAAGCAAGGAAAGAGAGUCAAUCAGAGUUUCUUCGUAAGCCUGUCUUAAAUAGCAGCACGUUUCUACUGGAGACUUGAAAAGCUGAGCCUUUCCAAGCUCCAUGUCUGUGCUGUCCACUGAGAAAGAAAAUCCAGGAGACAGGUUCCUAAAGGAAGACCCGGCCAUGAGGACGCGCUCCCCACCCGGCCCGACCCGGAGCCCGCGCUCUCCAGCUUCGCCGCCUCCUCGCGCGGCGGCGGCGCAACGCCCUGCCCGACAUCCUGGGCGCGGACGCCAGCGCCUGCGAGGAGCUGCCGCCGCCGCGGAGCCUCUCGGUGAAGGAAGAUGUGCAACAGAAGAGCGAAGCAGCAGCACGAGACCGGUUGGGAAAUCCCAGAGAGGAAGAGAAAUGAAGCCGCCUCGUUUGUCAGAGGCGCACUCAGGCGCGUGGAGAGGCGGAGGGGCUGUGUUUCCCAUGAUGUGUGGCGUGGCGGUAACCAUGGAAACGUGCGUGACUCCCGUGACUCGCCGUGACUGUUCACUUGGACCGCAAGUAUGAUGUCGAAAGUAGGCCAUUAAAAGGCAAAGUACGCCCCACUGCAUCCAAGAAAAAUGUUAAGAAUGCAGGAUCACUAAUACAUAGUAUUGUCUGUAAGCCCCGCAAAAUCUGCUGUUCUCUUUUGGAUUUAUUUAGCCAGCUGUGUGUUUAAUUCCACUUUUAGGGUGAUUUUUGUGUUUCUUGUCAAGUAUACAUUCAUUUAAACUUUGUAGAAUUUGUAGGAAAUAUAUUUUUGAUGAAAAGGAGGAAUAAUAAUAGAAUAGUCAGAAUUACAUGGGUACAGUGUCUUUAUUUUUAAUCAGUAUUGCGCCAGAGUUUUUCCAAACCACAAAAAAGAUUUUAAAAUAUUGUAAAAGUUUAACAACAUAAACAUCUCUGGGAUAUUUUUGUCUGAUAUAUUUUGCUUCUAAUCUGUGUAUACUGUGAUUUUUGAUGUGGACCCUUGGAAUGUAACCUUUGUGACAAACUAUUUCUGUGGAACAUGCCUUUCAAACGGAUUUCACGACCUCCCUUCACUGUGUGUGCGCAUGUGUCUUAUUGUAAUGUGAAAUAUACAAAACAAUUUUUAAUUGCUUCACAUUGCUUUUUCUCAUGUUUUGUAUAUGUACGAGGUAUAUCUAAAGUGAUAUCCUCAGGAAUACAUACCUUAAUUUUUAUAUCUUUCCUAGAGUAGCUAACAUAGCAGUAAACACUUUAAAAUUUGGUCAAUAAUGUAGGCCCAAGGAGAAAAAUACACACUUUUAAUAUAUGUUUAAGUAUAUAUUUUGAAAGGAACAAAAAUAAACCAAGGCUUUAGAGAAUUUGGGUUUAUUAGAAAUUUUAGAAAAAUACUAGAAUUCUGAAUUUUAAAAAAUUUGAAUAAUUAAUGUAUUUUCACUUUCACACAUAUGUGCAUGUGGUUUUAAAAAAUUUGAUUGUUGGCUUAGGCCACAUCUGUAUACACUGACCAAAUAAACUCUUUCACUAGAGAAAUUGUUUACUGUUACAGAUCUUCAUUUUAUCUUCUGAAGUAUGCCAGGUGAAAAACGGUGACCGUUUUAAAAGGAUGGCAUUAAUAGUCUGCAAUCUAAAUCACCUCCGGCUCAUUAUUUUAUUGACAAAGACUCCCCUUAUAUCUUAUACAUCCCAGAGGAACAGAUUUCAAAUAACUUGAUUGUUUUAAGUUCUCAAAUAUAAAUUUUCCUGUGUGAAAUAAAAGUAUUUUGGCCUAGCAUUACCUUAACAUCCAACAAAAUGCUUUGCGGGCACUGGAAUUCUGCUUCUGCAGCUGCUCCGGACGUAAGCUGAGCAGUCAGUAUGGGGCGGAAGGAGAGCCCUGCCUUUGGCCGGCCCUGGCAGGGGAGGCUUUGCCCCUGG
Molecule: long non-coding RNA, 3522 nt
Filed under: Heterocephalus glaber (naked mole-rat)
Lineage: Eukaryota; Metazoa; Chordata; Mammalia; Rodentia; Bathyergidae
Description: lncRNA (ENSHGLG00100045877.1)
Source: RNAcentral